CCUACGGGAGGCUGCAGUGGGGAAUAUUGGACAAUGGGCGCAAGCCUGAUCCAGCCAUGCCGCGUGGGUGAUGAAGGCCCUAGGGUUGUAAAGCCCUUUCGGCGGGGAAGAUAAUGACGGUACCCGCAGAAGAAGCCCCGGCUAACUUCGUGCCAGCAGCCGCGGUAAUACGAAGGGGGCUAGCGUUGCUCGGAAUCAAUGGGCGUAAAGCGCACGUCGGCGGCUUCUUAAGUCAGGGGUGAAAUCCUGGAGCUCAACUCCAGAACUGCCUUUGAUACUGGGAAGCCUGAGUCCGGGAGAGGUGAGUGGAACUGCGAGUGUAGAGGUGAAAUUCGUAGAUAUUCGCAAGAACACCAGUGGCGAAGGCGGCUCACUGGCCCGGUACUGACGCUGAGGUGCGAAAGCGUGGGGAGCAAACAGGAUUAGAUACCCCUGUAGUC
This 440-nucleotide ribosomal RNA is filed under the name uncultured bacterium. RNAcentral's name for it is "partial 16S ribosomal RNA". It matches the Rfam family "Bacterial small subunit ribosomal RNA", at positions 338 to 795 of the family's 1533-position model. The record is from RNAcentral.